GAUGAACGCUGGCGGCGUGCCUAAUACAUGCAAGUCGAGCGAACAGACGAGGAGCUUGCUCCUCUGACGUUAGCGGCGGACGGGUGAGUAACACGUGGAUAACCUACCUAUAAGACUGGGAUAACUUCGGGAAACCGGAGCUAAUACCGGAUAAUAUAUUGAACCGCAUGGUUCAAUAGUGAAAGACGGUUUUGCUGUCACUUAUAGAUGGAUCCGCGCCGCAUUAGCUAGUUGGUAAGGUAACGGCUUACCAAGGCAACGAUGCGUAGCCGACCUGAGAGGGGGGUCGGCCAAACUGGAAAUGAGACACGGUCCAGACUCCCACGGGAGGCAGCAGGUGGGAAUUUUCCGGAAUGGGCGAAAGGCUGAACGAGCAACGCCGGGGGAGUGAAGAAGGUCUUCGGAUCGUAAAACCCUGUUAUUAGGGAAGAACAAAUGUGUAAGUAACUAUGCACGUCUUGAAGGUACCCAAACAGAAAGCCACGGCUAAAUACGU
RNAcentral lists this ribosomal RNA (496 nucleotides) under uncultured bacterium. Its description in RNAcentral is "partial 16S ribosomal RNA". It matches the Rfam family "Bacterial small subunit ribosomal RNA", at positions 28 to 506 of the family's 1533-position model. The record is from RNAcentral.